Molecule: long non-coding RNA, 1143 nt
Organism: Pecten maximus
Lineage: Eukaryota; Metazoa; Mollusca; Bivalvia; Pectinida; Pectinidae
Exons: 3
Source: RefSeq, a predicted model, not a curated record
GAAGCCUCUGUAAAGACAUCGCAAGUACAUUUAAGUAUUAUUUCUAACCAGUAUCAAUAUGUAAGUGAUGUGCUAUAAAAUACAUACAAUGUACUUCAUAAACAGACACAUUGUAAAGCUAUACUUUGAUGAAAGAUUUCGUCAUAAAAGGUUUCAUAGCAACUCUCUAGAUCUUUAGGCGGAUGUUGUCAUUAAGUAGCAGACUCUUUAUCUUCCGGUUCCGGUUCACCUGUCACAUAUUCUUGUACUGUUUCAUUGGUCAAUUUAAUUUGUUCCUUUGACAAUAUUUAAUUAUCUAAUGUGGUUAAGACGGUUCUAUUUACACAGGGCUUUAAAUGUGAAGGAAAUGCCCCGGUAUUUGAUUUUAAAUCUGCUAGAAAUCACUCCUUAUGAACGUUUACACAAUCGAAAAUAAGAAAACUUGUAGCCGAUGUCCACAUUUGUCGGUUGCAAUUAUUUUGACAGCCGUUGAUACAUUCGAAAGCAGCGUUAGGGACCCAUCAUGAUGUGGCAGUGAAUAAAUAGAAUAUAUGAUGAAUAAAAUAUACUUUCGGUAUAUUACCAGAGUGGUAAUAUAAGUACUAAUUAUUUUGUACUUUGCAGUUAUUUUAUUACAGGUAUCUCGAUCUAUUUUAAUACAUGUAGCCGUCAAACCUGUUUGUCCAGUUCAUAUGUCCACCUGAAUAUGUUUCACCUGUAUUGUAUUGUCAUGUUAAUGUCUUGUCACGUGACUGCGUGUUCGUACGUGUACUUGUGAGUUUUAUUUGUCACUCCCGCACUCGACAUUAGAGGUACCUGACGUACUUUAUACAUGCGACAUCUAUGACAACAUACAGUGUUAAAUGCAGCAAUAUCCUAAAAUGAAUUAAACAUGUAGACGUCGGAUCAGAAUUGUUGAUAUUGUCAUUAAGACCCCUGUCGGAUUGAUAGGGGUCUUAUUCGUAAUAGAAAUAAAGAGUGCUUAAACGGAAACAACAGUAUUGCUGUUUUAAUUCAAUGUAGCACCGACCCGGCUACAAUGAUAAUACAGUGUUUUUACUCAUACGGACGUAGUACAGCAAGAACACAUUUGUCAUAUGCUCAAAAUCACAUGUUGCUGGUAAAUUGGAUACCAAGUAGGGAGGAUUUGGUUAUGUUGUGUAU